RNAcentral lists this ribosomal RNA (641 nucleotides) under Streptomyces sp. I13A-01624. Its description in RNAcentral is "bacterial SSU rRNA". It matches the Rfam family "Bacterial small subunit ribosomal RNA", at positions 99 to 754 of the family's 1533-position model. The record is from RNAcentral. Lineage: Bacteria; Bacillati; Actinomycetota; Actinomycetes; Kitasatosporales; Streptomycetaceae.
CGAACGGGUGAGUAACACGUGGGCAAUCUGCCCUUCACUCUGGGACAAGCCCUGGAAACGGGGUCUAAUACCGGAUAACACUCUGUCCCGCAUGGGACGGGGUUAAAAGCUCCGGCGGUGAAGGAUGAGCCCGCGGCCUAUCAGCUUGUUGGUGGGGUAAUGGCCUACCAAGGCGACGACGGGUAGCCGGCCUGAGAGGGCGACCGGCCACACUGGGACUGAGACACGGCCCAGACUCCUACGGGAGGCAGCAGUGGGGAAUAUUGCACAAUGGGCGAAAGCCUGAUGCAGCGACGCCGCGUGAGGGAUGACGGCCUUCGGGUUGUAAACCUCUUUCAGCAGGGAAGAAGCGAAAGUGACGGUACCUGCAGAAGAAGCGCCGGCUAACUACGUGCCAGCAGCCGCGGUAAUACGUAGGGCGCAAGCGUUGUCCGGAAUUAUUGGGCGUAAAGAGCUCGUAGGCGGCUUGUCACGUCGGAUGUGAAAGCCCGGGGCUUAACCCCGGGUCUGCAUUCGAUACGGGCUAGCUAGAGUGUGGUAGGGGAGAUCGGAAUUCCUGGUGUAGCGGUGAAAUGCGCAGAUAUCAGGAGGAACACCGGUGGCGAAGGCGGAUCUCUGGGCCAUUACUGACGCUGAGGAGC